RNAcentral lists this ribosomal RNA (850 nucleotides) under uncultured phototrophic eukaryote. RNAcentral's name for it is "bacterial SSU rRNA". It matches the Rfam family "Bacterial small subunit ribosomal RNA", at positions 70 to 918 of the family's 1533-position model. The record is from RNAcentral.
CCUAAGUUGACCGGCCAGUUGACGCUGCGCAUCUUACCAUCAAUCGUUGAAUGAUGAAAAUUUACAAUUUUUAUCAAAAGUGCGGCGGUGAGUACGCGUAAGACCUCCUCAUGGAGGCGAUACAACCGAAAUGUUCUAUACCCAAGGUGAGAGCUAACGGUAAAUCCGCAAGAGAGGGCUUGUUCUUUUAGCAGUUGGGGGGUAAUGGCUUCCCAUGCCACGAUCAGUAGUGGUUCAGAGGAUAUCAGCCACACUGGGACUGAGAAACGGCCCAGACUCCUACGGAGGCAGCAGUGAGGAAUUUUCCGCAAUGGGUAAAGCCUGCGGAGCAAGCCGCGGGAGGAAGACGGUCCGUGGAUUGUAAACUCCUUUUCUCAGAGAAGAAGAUCUGACGGUAUCUGAGGAAUAAGCAACGGCUAACUCUGUGCCAGCAGCCGCGGUAAGACAGAGGUUACAAGCGUUAUCCGGAACGAUUGGGCGUAAAGCGUCUGUAGGUGGUUUCUGAAGUCUACUGUCAAAUACCAGGGCUUAACUUUGGACAGGCAGUGGAGUACUCAGAGGCUAGAGUUCGGUAGAGGCAGAGGGAAUUCCCGGUGGAGCGGUGAAAUGCAUAGAGAUCGGGAAGAACACCAGUGGCGAAAGCGCUCUGCUGGGCCGAACUGACACUGAGAGACGAAAGCUAAGGGAGCGAAUAGGAUUAGAUACCCUAGUAGUCUUAGCUGUCAACGAUGGAAACUAAGUGCUGUCUAAUCUUCUUUUUAAGGAGUUGAAACAGUGCUGAAGCUAACGCGUUAAGUUUCCCGCCUGGGGAGUAUGCUCGCAAGAGUGAAACUCAAAUGAAUUGACGGGG